GGAGCUGUCCUUAGUACGAGAGGACCGGGAUGGACGCACCGCUGGUGUACCAGUUGUUCUGCCAAGGGCAUCGCUGGGUAGCUAUGUGCGGACGGGAUAAGUGCUGAAAGCAUCUAAGCAUGAAGCCCCCCUCAAGAUGAGAUUUCCCAUUCCGCAAGGAAGUAAGAUCCCUGAAAGAUGAUCAGGUUGAUAGGUCUGAGGUGGAAGUGUGGCGACACAUGGAGCUGACAGAUACUAAUCGAUCGAGGRCUUAACCAUAUUU
Molecule: ribosomal RNA, 262 nt
Filed under: Bacillus subtilis
Lineage: Bacteria; Bacillati; Bacillota; Bacilli; Caryophanales; Bacillaceae
Description: partial 23S ribosomal RNA
Rfam family: Bacterial large subunit ribosomal RNA
Source: RNAcentral